UUUUGAUGGUAGAUAAGUGCU
RNAcentral lists this unclassified non-coding RNA (21 nucleotides) under Dictyostelium discoideum. The record is from RNAcentral. Lineage: Eukaryota; Evosea; Eumycetozoa; Dictyosteliales; Dictyosteliaceae.